Molecule: ribosomal RNA, 670 nt
Filed under: Marasmius tenuissimus
Lineage: Eukaryota; Fungi; Basidiomycota; Agaricomycetes; Agaricales; Marasmiaceae
Description: eukaryotic LSU rRNA
Rfam family: 5.8S ribosomal RNA (bases 205-358)
Source: RNAcentral
UUGUAAAGGAAGGUUGAGCUGGCCCUUCACGGGCAAGUGCUCGCCUUUCUUUCAAUCUUCAUCCACCUGUGCACUCUUUGUAGGGAGCUUGAGAAUGGACCUUUCGGGGUCUUAGUAUUGGGCUCUCUAUGUCUUCACACACUCUUGAAUGUAUGUCGUUGAAUGUCUUUUACGGGGACUUAAGUGACCCUUUAAAAACAAUACAACUUUCAGCAACGGAUCUCUUGGCUCUCGCAUCGAUGAAGAACGCAGCGAAAUGCGAUAAGUAAUGUGAAUUGCAGAAUUCAGUGAAUCAUCGAAUCUUUGAACGCACCUUGCGCCUCUUGGUAUUCCGAGAGGCAUGCCUGUUUGAGUGUCAUUAAAUUCUCAACUUCAAAAGCUUUUGUUUUUGAAGCUUGGAUGUGGAGGUCUGCUGGCUUUUCUAGAGUCGGCUCCUCUGAAAUGCAUUAGUGGAAACUGUUUGUAGUCCGCAUUGGUGUGAUAAUUAUCUACGCUUCUGUGCGACUACAGCUCUGUAGUGUUCGUUUGGGAAGCUGCAUUAAGUUGCUCUUUCUGUUCACAAUGACCUACACGAGUCUAGUAUCUGCUUCAAACCGUCCUAAGUUAUUGGACAACUUUGAACCUUUUGACCUCAAAUCAGGUAGGACUACCCGCUGAACUUAAGCAUUCA